RNAcentral lists this ribosomal RNA (464 nucleotides) under Vreelandella stevensii. RNAcentral's name for it is "partial 16S ribosomal RNA". It matches the Rfam family "Bacterial small subunit ribosomal RNA", at positions 338 to 795 of the family's 1533-position model. Lineage: Bacteria; Pseudomonadati; Pseudomonadota; Gammaproteobacteria; Oceanospirillales; Halomonadaceae. The record is from RNAcentral.
CCUACGGGGGGCUGCAGUGGGGAAUAUUGGACAAUGGGGGCAACCCUGAUCCAGCCAUGCCGCGUGUGUGAAGAAGGCCCUCGGGUUGUAAAGCACUUUCAGUGAGGAAGAACGCCUGUGGUUAAUACCCAUCAGGAAAGACAUCACUCACAGAAGAAGCACCGGCUAACUCCGUGCCAGCAGCCGCGGUAAUACGGAGGGUGCGAGCGUUAAUCGGAAUUACUGGGCGUAAAGCGCGCGUAGGUGGCUUGAUAAGCCGGUUGUGAAAGCCCCGGGCUCAACCUGGGAACGGCAUCCGGAACUGUCAAGCUAGAGUGCAGGAGAGGAAGGUAGAAUUCCCGGUGUAGCGGUGAAAUGCGUAGAGAUCGGGAGGAAUACCAGUGGCGAAGGCGGCCUUCUGGACUGACACUGACACUGAGGUGCGAAAGCGUGGGUAGCAAACAGGAUUAGAUACCCGUGUAGUC